Cynoglossus semilaevis (tongue sole) is the source of this 764-nucleotide long non-coding RNA. RefSeq lists it as uncharacterized. The transcript is spliced from 3 exons. Lineage: Eukaryota; Metazoa; Chordata; Actinopteri; Pleuronectiformes; Cynoglossidae. The record is from RefSeq and is a predicted model, not a curated record.
ACAUCACUGUGUCAGGCUGAAGUUUGUACCUUUAGUCCACCUGUAGUUUCUAAUGGAGCAAAAACAAAACACAACCUCUGCGUAACCUCUGAACUUUCACGUCAUCAAAAACAACCCGGAAGCGACUAUACAAGAAACGCAAAUAUCCAGACUAACAUGAAGCCCAGGCUGAUCUGGCCCACCCCCUACCGGACGUCACGUCAGUGUUGUGUUUAAAGAACCAAUGGUGUUAUUGCAGGUUUGCAUACUUGAAUUGGUACCAGCCCAUAUUGAGUGGCCUCAGCAUUUCACAGUUACAUCUGUAGGCUAAGGUGUGGCUGCAAUGGAACCCACAGAGUUAAUAUGGCCUCUCAGCCUACCGUCAUUGCCUGGUCUGCUUAAUCCUUCUGGAUGAGUCACUAAUCCAGCUUCCUGUGCAACAGCAUUAGUUCAUUCCUAGGUGCUAAUGAAUUGGCUACAAUGACGGACAGAACUGUGCCCUUCGGGAAGAAAAGAGAAUCAAUAUAAGGUUUUAUGACGAGGCCAGAUUAUGUUUGACGUCAUCAUUUCACAUUACUUGGCACAUUAAUUCGGACUGUGACCAAGAGGUGGGUGUGUACAGCUUCCUGGGGCGAUUGAAAAAAUAAAAUAGGGAUGAUUAAACAAUGUGGCUAACACAUUUAAAAAAUAUUGCAGACCCAUGAAAAUGAAGUUCCAUUAGAGCCAGCAAUGUUUUUCCGAUAUGCCUUCAAAUGUUCCAGCCUCCGUGCAAGAAGACUUACCUA